Long non-coding RNA from Betta splendens (Siamese fighting fish), 3663 nucleotides. RefSeq lists it as uncharacterized. The record is from RefSeq and is a predicted model, not a curated record. The transcript is spliced from 5 exons. Lineage: Eukaryota; Metazoa; Chordata; Actinopteri; Anabantiformes; Osphronemidae.
UCUACGGUUCCCCCAGAUGCAGCAGGGGAGGCUGGUCGGUGCGGUGGUCCCAGGCUUCCCGUCCGUGCUGCCUGUUAGCCCGCAGCCCGCACGAUUCAAAACACGGGCACGUCACUUCCUCCCAGUCUCAUCGAGCGCAGCUUAUCUCUCGCCGCCCGCAGUAUUUCAUCAGGAAAUAUGGUACACGCUGCAGAUAAAACAAACAAUCCCUGGUCCCUGAGCACAUUGUCGUUUCCCCUUGGGCCCAUUAUCAGAUCCCCUCUGUAGGCUCCCAGCAGCUGCAGUUAUUGUGGAAGUCUCUACUUUUAUAGCCCCAUGAUGUCUGUGACAACACUGGCUUUUAUGAUCCCAGCGCCAGCCGGGGCCUUUCCUUCAUGCUUCAGGAUGGAUUACUCCGGCCCCUGUUGAAACAGAGCCUUGUGGUGUGACAAGGGAUCCAAUGUGGGUGUUCAUGAGAGGUGCCACACCUGAUUACAGAUGACAGUGUACGACUGUCAUCUGCGGUGCCAGGACCGUUCGGAUCCAAGAUCCUUCACUGCAGCUUUGAUGGUUUCAAAGCCUUCCUUAACAGCACCAUACAAAAGGAGGCGUUCAGGAAAUAAAAUGCAUCGGAGGGGACCUGAGAGGAGGACACACGUUAACCCAGAUAGACUGUGACAAAACACCAUUACCUUCCCCUGUUCACACUCUGACAUACAGGACAGCUAGUAGUCCCCUGUCUCUGAGGAAUCCAUCUGAACGCGACACACUGGCAUGCAUGGAUGUUGACUCCGCAACAGCAUCCCUUAAGCAACUAAUGACAUAAUGAUAUACAUAAAUCUAUGAAAAGGAAAAGUUACUAAUGUUUAGUUUACAUUACUGCACCAGCAUUUUACUUUGCUUGAGGUGAAGCCAAUGCUGUAUGGUAGCAUUGUUAUUUAUUUUAAACUUUUGCAUUGUCAUUAGUGAGACAGUUGUUGGGGUGAAGUUAGCAUUAGCUGCUUCACAUUCUGUAACGUGUAACUUAUCUCAACUGAUUAUGGGCUAUACAGUAUGUAUAUUGGAGUUUAAAAAAAGUAAUGAAUAAUAGGGUAAAGUAUGUUUCAAUAUACUAUACAUCAAUGCAUCAUGUGUAAUAUCUAUUUGGCACCGACUUAAAAAAGUGAUUGCAGUUGUACAAUAUUAUUGCAUGGAUUAGAAUACUGUAUCAAAGUUCAGUCACAUCAAAGGGCGUCCAGUUUGCUCUCCUGCUGUACUUAAGGACUGUACAGUAUUCAUUGUCCCACUGCCUUCCAACACACAGUCUCCAGUGUGUCGAUGCUGAAUGGUGACACAGCUCAGAUGGAUGUGACGCCAGUGGUCCGACCACAGUGUGCUGGUGUCAUAACAUGGAUAUAUAACCACCGUCGUCCUUACAUCAGGCUGACUAAAUGGACAAAAAUGCCAGGGCAGCAAAAAAGAGGCGAAGAAACCCAGGGCUUCAUUAACAGAACCUUCCCAGCAUGCUUUGCAAUGACAAAUGAUUGACUUGGAACAAUAUCUAAGGCGAUCAGGAUAAAGUACCAGCCAUUUCAAGGCUCAGCAAAAUUCAAAUUCUAAUUAGACCUUGCACCACAUUCCAAAUAAAAAUGGGUCCCUAGGUGGUUUACCCUAUCAGGUGUCUCUCCCAGACCACUGAAACAAAACGAAUAAAGAAAAUGAUUAAAGCGAUAACAAAGGCAUAAAAUUCAAAUUAAAGCAGCAUCACAUCUGGGAUCUGUAUGUCACUGCACUGCCGUUCCCACUCUCUCCCUCUGUUUCCCUGGCGCUCUCCAGCGCCUUCACACACACACACGUGUACACACAGCAUUCCCUUCAUGCUGCAUAAGGGCAAACAGGGAAAAAAAAGGCAGAGCAGGAGAGAAAGAGAGCGAAAAAGCAGGGAAAUUAAAAGGUAGGGAGCGAGAACGCAAAUAGGCUCUCAGCUUUAAGGUUAUUAAUGACUCCUCAAAAAUGUGCGACUUUUCCAAUCUCUCUGAGAAGCGCUUGAAGGAGCCUGCAGAUGAAGCUGACCUUCACAAUGUUCUUUGGUCUUUAGUUAAGAAAUUCACUCACCAUUAUGGCAUCAUUAGGGAAACAAGGAUAAAAUUACUCCAUGGUUAAUGACCUAUAGGAUCCCCACCAAAAUUUGUUUCAGAUCUAAUAAAACUGAGCUUAACACACUCGAAUGAAUUAUGAGGACUGCUACGCGGGGGUAUUAAAAUGUGGGGAAAUAGAUUUUCUGAAGCUAGGAGGACUGGACUUUUCGAAUCAGAUAGUAGAAUGGAAUUUUCUGGGCAAUAAAUUCUACCAUGUCUCAAUUUCAUUUUUUUUUUACCUCAGAAUUUUUCAGGCUAUGAUGGAAUCUGUGAGUGGGAUGGCCUCUAAAAAUUCAUUGCCAAUUGCCGUCUCCUCCUCUAUCCCCUUAAGGUAGAUGGAUUGAUGGAUGAAUGGCUAAAUGGGCAAAUAAGUGGAGAAAAGCAUAGUCGAACGAAAACUCGAUGUAUGAUGGAAAUAAAUGAUUAGAUACACGCACAGAUACUUAAAUCUCCCAGCAGGCGCCGGGAAAAGAUGUGAUAAGUGCAGAAAUAAAGUGUCUUCAAAAAGUAUAUAAAAAUCGGAUUAUUUUAUGUGUUUUCUCUAACUUGCCUCUAAAUUUAGUGCAUGCCAAACUGGUCAUUAGCAUAAUGCUGGGGCAGCUGAGAGGACACACAGAAACUCAUUAAAGAGGACGACAUAAAGCUGCAGGCAACGGUGCCUCAGCAACACGCAGCACAUAAACAUACAUCAAAGUGAACAUACUAAUACACCUAUGAAACUUUAUAUGAAACGUGAAAAAAGCGGCGUUCUAUGAGCAGCUCUGCUUUAGCGCGGCUGCAGCCUGCGAGAAGGGGCUCGUGAGCUAAUGGCAUUUGCUCUCUUUAAACUUUAAUCUUUCCUAUUAAUUCCCUGCAACUGGAGAAUGUGCGAGAGUUAAUGUUCCAUGAACGUGUUUCUCACUCUGCAAUCUCUUCAAGCUAAUUACCUUCAGGUGCUAAAUGGGGGGAAAUUGCAAUCCAUUUGGAAGGGAGAAAUUUCACCUCCCCGUUGCCUAUGUAGCGCCGUGGAUGCCGUUAAAAAGAAAGAAAAUCAAACAUAAGACGCUCGGGCCGGAGAACGCGCAAUCAAAAAAUGGACGCUGUGCGCGGGGCUGUGAUUGGCUGCCUCUUCCCAGGUAGCUCUGGGAGAGUAAAUGGCUUCCUGUGCUCGCCCGCCUCGCCGCUUAUGUCGCAGGUCACUCGGAGGUCAGCAGGUGCCGGCGGUGGACAACGGCGCCGAACAGAUGUUUGAUUGACGCGGAUCACGCAGAUUGGCCAUCAAAGUUUUCUGAUGAGAACGGAGAGGCUCUCGGAACGGCCAUCACGAAGGGCGAACGCCGCCGAGACGUGGGGAAGUCAAAAUAGGAAUUAAAAAGAGAUUAAGUUUACGCCACUGAUUCACGGCGGCCUGUACGCAACAUUAAGUCGCGGGGAGUGACGCGGUAUUCGUCAAUGACAGGAUCAAGUUUACAAAUGGCACGCGAGCGGCUUUUUUUUCGGAGUCAAUCGCUAAUCAGUAACGCAGGAUGAACAGGAUCGUUGCAGACAAAUAGCUCUGAUAAGUUUUACCUUUUAAAGGGCCGGCGUG